Molecule: long non-coding RNA, 7384 nt
Organism: Cyprinus carpio (common carp)
Lineage: Eukaryota; Metazoa; Chordata; Actinopteri; Cypriniformes; Cyprinidae
Source: Ensembl
UUUUUCUGAAAUGCAUGCAUGUGUGUGUAUUUAUAUAAACAUAAUAUAUAUAAACAGCAUACAUAUAUUAUGUCAUGACAUACAUUUGUUUUUUAUUUACUAGCACCAUCUUGUGGCAGUUUAAUGUUAUAACAAAGAAAUUGAUUAUUGUAAACCAUUUUCUUAGUGGUUGGUUUAGGUCAUGUGACUCUUGGGUUAGAGGUUAACCAGGAAAUAGCCACUGUAUUCUAGUUUUCUUUCUGUGUGGUGGGCCAACAAGUCAUCUCUCUGUUUUCUUUACAUUUUGUGCCUCAGAAAGGCUUUGCCUGUAAGUUUGUUAUCUUUUUUGCAGUGUUUGCAUGAAUGUGUAUAUAAAUAUUUGUAAUUCAUUAGUUUGAGUUUAAAAAACGAACUAUUCAACAGUGAUGGCAAUUUGUUUAUAAUUACACUAAGAAGAACUGAUUGUAGCCUUUUAAUAUGUGCUCAGAGAAUAUUUGUAAACAGCGGAAAUUCAUUUGUGUUUAUUUUGAGAAUAUUUUGUAACAAGACAUUUGUAAUCUUUGUAUAUUUCAGUUUUACAAAAAAGAGAAAGAAGAGGAAAGAACAAAACAGUAAAACUUUCAACUUUACUACUGCGUCUGCCCUUUUCUGACUCCUGUUAGCUAUCUGUCAAUGUUGCGUAGAUGGAACACGCAUCUAGGACAGAAUAGUAAAAAGGCAACCGCUCAGUAGGUACUGAAGUUCAAGGAAAGCAAGCUUCAACUCCAUCAUUCCUCGUUCAUCAUCACGCCCUGUACUCCUAGACAGUAUUAGCAAUUCAUGAUGGCGGAGAAAUCUACGGAGGCUGAGAAAGCUAUGGAGGCUGGGGAAGCUACAGAGCGAAGUCAAGCAUUUGAAACAAGAUCUAUAGCUUCUGCUUCGACUAAUAGAUCUAGAAGCUCAUCGGCUAGCGCAGCUGCUGCCAAGGCUCGCGCUAAACUGGAAGCUGCACGGGCCAGGACUGAAUUCCUUAAAAAAGAAUCAGAAAUCUUGAUUGAGAAAGCUCAACUGAAAGUUACAGAGGCAUGCAUGGAAGCGUCACUGGCAGCUAUAAAGCAUGAAAGUGAGGUGGCAGCAGCCAUUGCGGAGACGAAGGUUUUGGAGGCAGCAGCAGAUAGUGAACUUGGAGAAAGGAUUUCCGAUGUGAAAGAAGUUUCUGAUCGCACUCGUGAUUACGUCAUGAAUCAGUCUCAACUGAGGUUAUUGUCUCCGGCUGGAGAUGAGCCAUGUCAACUACCUCUAAAGCCCAUUGUCCAUGUGUUGAGGCCUGAGACACCUCCAAGGCAUCAUCGCUUAGCAUCUUGGGAUGUCAGAGAUUCUAACAAUAAACCUGAUACUGAGAGUAUAACGCAGCAUCCUCAGAAGUCAGUGCAAACAACUAGUCAAAAAUACCAAAUUCCACCGUUCACUUCUUCUCCAUAUAAGACAACACCACAACCAUCGUUCAACAACGACACUAAUGUGAGUGAGGUCGCCAGGUACUUAGCACGCCGAGAGCUUGUUAAUUCAGGGCUCUUCAAGUUUGACGAUCGUCCCGAGAAUUAUUGGGCGUGGAAGUCCUCUUUCAUCAACGCAAUUGAAGGUUUGCACCUAUCAGCUGCUGAGCAGUUAGACCUUCUGUCUAAAUGGUUGGGAGAACAGUCUUCACAACAUGUGCGAAGGAUCAGAGCUGUGCACACAGGUAAUCCAAACGCAGGCUUGGGAAAAGCAUGGGAGCGCUUGGAAGAUUGCUAUGGCUCUCCAGAGAUUAUUGAGAAAUCCCUCUUUGACAGGAUUGAUAGCUUUCCAAAAAUCAGCAACAAAGAUGCGAAAAAGCUUAGAGAACUUGGAGAUCUUCUACAGGAAGUGGAGUCUGCGAAACAUGAAGGCUACCUACCCGGACUUACUUAUCUUGACACCGCACGUGGUGUUGCUCCCAUCGUAGAUAAGUUACCUUACAGUCUUCAGGAGAGGUGGAUGGCUCAAGGUUCUCAGUACAAAUCAGCACAUCAAGUCGCCUUUCCUCCAUUCUCAUUCUUCUGUGAUUUCAUCAGCAGAGAGGCUCGAACACGCAACGAUCCAAGUUUUGCUCUGUCUUCAGGAAUCCAUAGUGUGUUGAAACCAGAGCAGCAAUUCAAGAGACAAAUGAAAAGCUCAGUCUACACUCACAAGACGGAAGUGUCAGCAGCGACUGUGAGUCAGACACACAGCUCAAACUAUGAGUUGGAUGAUGUGAAUAAGGUCUGCCCGAUUCAUAAGAAGCCCCACCCUCUCAAUCGUUGCAGAGGUUUUAGGAUCAAACCUCUGGAUGAGCGCAAGACUUUUCUAAAGGAGAAAGGUGUUUGCUACAGGUGCUGUGCAACAACCACUCAUCUGGCCAGGGACUGUAAGGCAGCUAUUAAAUGUAAGGAAUGUGGCAGUGAUGCUCAUAUCGCAGCGCUUCAUCCAGGACCACCGCCUUCAAACUUAUUUGAUCAUGGCGGGGAGGGAGAGAAAGACACGCCUCAACCUGCUAUAACUUCCAAGUGUACAGAAGUCUGUGGUUACGGUGAAUGUUCACGGUCAUGCUCUAAGAUUUGCCUGGCUAAGGUUUACCCAGAAGGCCACCCAGAAGGAGCAAUCAAGCUUUAUGUGAUCCUGGAUGAUCAGAGCAAUAGAUCGCUCGCUAGAACCAAGUUCUUCGACUUGCUGCAUGUCAAAGGAGAGAACUCAACAUAUACUCUACGUACCUGUGCAGGUGUGACAGAGACUGCGGGAAGAAGAGCUACUGGUUUCAUUAUAGAGUCUUUAGAUGGAGUAAUGAAGGUGAAAUUGCCAACAUUGAUCGAAUGCAACAAUAUGCCAGACGAUAGGGCCGAGAUACCAACACCUGAUGCAGCACGUUGGCACACUCACCUAAAGCCCAUCGCGAAUUGCAUUCCUCCUUUGGAUCCAGAAGCCCAAAUUCUUCUCCUUUUGGGUCGUGACAUCCUUCAGGUUCAUAAAGUACGGGAGCAACGUAAUGGUCCUAAUAACGCACCCUACGCACAAAGACUAGACCUAGGAUGGGUCGUAGUCGGAGACGUCUGCUUAGGAUCUGUCCACAGGUCUGCAGCACUUAGUGCUUACCGUACCCAUGUACUUGAUAAUGGACGUCCUUCUCUACUUCCUCCAUGUCCCAACAAACUCAGUGUUAGGGAGAAGUUUGACAUCAAGCCUCCGCCUGAGAUAUCUCUGGCGCACGGCACCUUCAUCUUUGAUGACUAUGCCAUAGGAGAUACCAUCUUUGAGAGGACAAAGGAGGAUAAUAAAGUUGGAUUGUCUAUUGAAGACAGGCGUUUUUUGGACAUCAUGGAUAAAGAGAUGUUCAUGGACGAGAGCAAUAGUUGGGUUGCACCACUCCCAUUCAGAACACCUCGCCAACGACUCCCUAAUAAUAGAGAACAGGCAUUUACACGCCUAACUUCCCUUUUGCGCACACUGGAAAAGAAGCCUGAGAUGAAGUCUCAUUUUGUUACCUUCAUGCAGAACAUCUUUGAUCGUGACCAUGCCGAAGUAGCCCCUCCUCUUCGAGAAGGCCAGGAAUGUUGGUAUUUACCUACCUUUGGGGUGUACCACCCACAGAAGCCUGAUCAGAUCAGAGUUGUCUUCGACUCCAGCGCGCAAAAACAGGGCAUCUCCUUGAACGAUGUUCUUCUCUCUGGUCCUGACUUAAAUAAUAGCCUCUUGGGAGUCUUACUACGUUUUAGAAGGGAGCUGGUAGCUGUAACUGCAGACAUCGAACAGAUGUUUCACAGCUUCAUUGUGAAAGAGGAAGAUAGAGACUUCCUUCGUUUUCUCUGGUUCAAGGAUAAUGACACCAGCAAAGGGAUUAUUGAAUACCGCAUGAAGGUGCACGUGUUCGGUAAUAGUCCAUCUCCUGCUGUAGCCAUUUAUGGUCUUCGACGAGCAGCGGCUUAUGGUGAGGAGGAAUAUGGUUCAGAUGCCAGACACUUUGUAGAGAGAGAAUUCUACGUCGAUGAUGGACUUUUGUCAACACCCACAGCUGCCGGAACAAUCGAUCUGUUGACACGAACAAAGAAAAUGCUGGCAACUUCAAAUUUAAAAUUGCACAAGUUUGCUUCUAAUAGCAAGGAAGUAAUGAAUGCAUUUCCGACUGAAGAUCAUGCAAAGGGACUCAAAGAUCUCAACUUGGAAGUUGACCCUACCCCCAUCCAACGUAGUCUCGGACUUAGCUGGGAUGUGAAGGGGGACACAUUCACCUUUCAUGUAACCGACAUUAAGAAGCCCUUUACUCGGAGAGGGAUACUGGCUACUGUCAACAGUCUCUUCGACCCACUUGGGUUCGUUGCCCCUGUCAUCAUUGAAGGGAAAUUCCUGCUACGAGAACUCUCAGGUGAGACUUGUGACUGGGAUUCUCCCCUCCCUGAAGACAAGGAAGAAGCAUGGAAUGCAUGGAGGAGAUCCCUACAAGAUCUAAAACAGCUGGAGAUUCCUAGAACAUAUGUUUAUACUGCUCUCUCUACAGCUCUGAGGAAGGAACUCCACAUUUUCUCUGAUGCUUCUGUCAAAGCGAUUGCAGCAGUGGCAUAUCUUCGUGUCAUCAAUGGCGAAGGAGCAUGCCACACUGGGUUCAUAUUGGGGAAGGCCAAAUUAGCUCCACAAGCUGCUCAUACCAUUCCCAGGCUGGAACUAGGAGCUGCGGUUUUAGCUGCAGAGAUAGCAGAGAUAAUCACAAACGAGCUGGACUUCACUUUAGAUGCUGUGGAGUUUUACACGGAUAGUAGAGUCGUCCUGGGGUACAUCUAUAACCAGACAAGACGGUUCUAUGUAUACGUAGCCAACAGAGUGCAGCGUAUCCAUAGAGUGUCAAACCCAAUGCAAUGGCACUAUGUGUCUACUAAGCAUAACCCUGCAGAUCAUGCCACCCGCUCCGUUCCUGCAGCUCUGUUGGGCACCACCACCUGGUUUACAGGACCUGCCUUCCUGUCGCAAAUGGAUCCGAAUCUGUCUCUGGAGGAGAGGGAAUUUGACCUCCUCGGGCCAGAGUUGGACACAGAAGUUCGCCCUCUUGCUACUACUGUAUCCGAUGAUUUUCAUCUUGAAUGUCAACGAUUCGAGCGAUUCUCUUCUUGGAGGUCAUUAGUCAGAGCCAUAGCUUUUCUCAUACAUGUCGCCCAGACUUACAAGUCGUCUGAUGAUAGAGAAAGAGCCUGCAGCUCAUGGCACUACUGUGCUAAGCCUCGUACAGUGAAAGAGUUGUUACAAGCAGAGGAAGUUGUAAUCAAGAGUAUUCAGAGGGAAGCUUACCAAGAAGAGCUCACCUGCAUCGCCAAAAAAGAUGACAUCCCGAGGCACAGUGCUCUGAAAAAACUGAACCCUUACGUAGAUAGUAGAGGUCUUCUCAGGAUAGGAGGUCGGCUUAAAAAUGCAACUUUGGAUCUCCAAGAGAAGUUUCCUUUGAUUGUUCCAGGACGCAGUCAUGCUGCGAAGCUACUUGUGGAGUAUUACCAUGAUCGAGUCAAGCAUCAGGGUCGUGUGUUUACUGAAUCAGCUAUCCGCAAUGCAGGGUAUUGGAUUGUUGGUGUUAGGAAGCUUAUCAACAGCAUUGUACACAAGUGCAUCAUAUGCAACAAGCUUCGUGGGAAGGUAACUGAGCAGAAGAUGGCGGACUUGCCCAUCGAUCGCCUGAGCACUGAACCUCCCUUCACGAACGUCGGUCUUGAUGUUUUUGGACCUUGGACAGUUGUCGCAAGGCGCACGCGAGGAGGACAAGCUCAGAGCAAAAGAUGGGCUGUUCUUUUCACUUGUAUGAGUAUUCGUGCCAUACAUAUUGAGCUGAUUGACAGUAUGGAUUCAUCCACCUUUAUAAACGCCUUGAGAAGGUUUUUUGCUCUACGAGGUCCUGUCAAACAAAUUCGGUCUGAUUGCGGGACCAAUUUUGUAGGAGCCUGUAAAGAGCUGGAAAUUGUGGUAAAUGAUCCUCAAGAGCCUAGUGUGAGGAAGUACCUGAGUGGAGAGGGUUGUUCAUGGGUCUUCAAUCCACCUCAUGCAUCCCACAUGGGAGGAGCCUGGGAGCGGAUGAUAGGAGUCUCCAGGCGCAUACUAGAUUCCAUGCUCCAACAGAUCAGUCCUUCCCGCUUGACACAUGAAGUGUUGUCCACCUUGAUGGCAGAGGUUACAGGAAUCGUUAAUUCAAGACCCCUUGUUCCUAUUUCAACAGACCCAGAUUCACCUUUCUUGUUAACGCCAGCCAUGCUCCUAACUCAAAAGGGUCAUACACUCCUCCCACCUCCAGGUGAUUUCAAGGAAACCAAUCUCCAUAGACAGCAAUGGAGAAGGGUGCAACAUCUUGCUAAUACUUUCUGGAAUAGAUGGAGGCGUGAAUACCUCUCAACGCUUCAAAGCCGAAGCAAAUGGCAAGAGGAACGACGAAAUCUAAGAGAGGGCGAUGUUGUCCUUCUUAAGGAUGCUCAAAGUAAGCGCAAUGAAUGGCCUAUGGCUCUUGUGACCAAGACUUUUCCUGGCAGUGACAAAAGAGUCAGAACGGUUGAACUAAGAGUUGCAAGGAAUGGGACAAUCAAGACAUUCCUCAGACCUAUAUCGGAAACAGUUCUGCUCAUGCCAACGGAGGACUGAUAUUUGUGAGGUCUUAUGUGAACAUUCUCAGGUUAUAUGGUGGUAUCUAAACAAUACCAGGCGGGGAGUGUCAUGACAUACAUUUGUUUUUUAUUUACUAGCACCAUCUUGUGGCAGUUUAAUGUUAUAACAAAGAAAUUGAUUAUUGUAAACCAUUUUCUUAGUGGUUGGUUUAGGUCAUGUGACUCUUGGGUUAGAGGUUAACCAGGAAAUAGCCACUGUAUUCUAGUUUUCUUUCUGUGUGGUGGGCCAACAAGUCAUCUCUCUGUUUUCUUUACAUUUUGUGCCUCAGAAAGGCUUUGCCUGUAAGUUUGUUAUCUUUUUUGCAGUGUUUGCAUGAAUGUGUAUAUAAAUAUUUGUAAUUCAUUAGUUUGAGUUUAAAAAACGAACUAUUCAACAGUGAUGGCAAUUUGUUUAUAAUUACACUAAGAAGAACUGAUUGUAGCCUUUUAAUAUGUGCUCAGAGAAUAUUUGUAAACAGCGGAAAUUCAUUUGUGUUUAUUUUGAGAAUAUUUUGUAACAAGACAUUUGUAAUCUUUGUAUAUUUCAGUUUUACAAAAAAGAGAAAGAAGAGGAAAGAACAAAACAGUAAAACUUUCAACUUUACUACUGCGUCUGCCCUUUUCUGACUCCUGUUAGCUAUCUGUCAAUGUUGCGUAGAUGGAACACGCAUCUAGGACAGAAUAUAUUAUGUAAUCAAAAACUUUUAUUUUGGAUGCGAUUAAUCAUGAUUAAUCGUUUGACAGCACUAAUAUACAUACAUAUAUUA